AAUCCAUGGUGAGGGCACCUUCUCAAAAAGAUCCUUGUAUCUCUCCCAUGCAUCAUAAAGUGUUUCGAGAUCCAUCUGCACAAAAGAAGAGAUGUCAUUCCUCAACUU
Gossypium arboreum is the source of this 108-nucleotide small nucleolar RNA. It matches the Rfam family "Plant small nucleolar RNA R71". Rfam says of the family: R71 is a member of the C/D box family of snoRNAs containing the C (UGAUGA) and D (CUGA) box motifs. NCBI's taxonomy places the organism in Eukaryota, Viridiplantae, Streptophyta, Magnoliopsida, Malvales, Malvaceae. The record is from Rfam.